CCUACGGGAGGCAGCAGUGGGGAAUAUUGCGCAAUGGGGGAAACCCUGACGCAGCAACGCCGCGUGAGUGAGGAAGGACUUCGGUCUGUAAAGCUCUGUUAAUGUGGAAAAAUGGUAGUUGGUCUAAUAGGCCGAUUAUUUGAUGGUACACAUAGAGGAAGCACCGGCUAACUUCGUGCCAGCAGCCGCGGUAAUACGAAGGGUGCAAGCGUUGUUCGGAUUUAUUGGGCGUAAAGCGCGCGUAGGCGGACCUGCAAGUCAGAUGUGAAAUCUCGGGGCUCAACCUCGAAACUGCGUCUGAAACUACAGGUCUAGAAUCUUGGAGGGGGAAGGGGAAUUUCUCAUGUAGGGGUAAAAUCCGUAGAUAUGAGAAGGAACACCAGAGGCGAAGGCGCCUUCCUGGACAAGUAUUGACGCUGAGGCGCGAAAGCGUGGGGACCAAACAGGAUUAGAUACCCUGGUAGUCCACGCUGUAAACGAUGAAUACUAGAUAUUGCAGGAUUUGACCCCAGCAGUGUCGUAGCUAACGCGUUAAGUAUUCCGCCUGGGAAGUACGGUGCAAGACUAAAACUUAAAGGAAUUGACGG
Molecule: ribosomal RNA, 587 nt
Filed under: uncultured bacterium
Lineage: Bacteria
Description: bacterial SSU rRNA
Rfam family: Bacterial small subunit ribosomal RNA
Source: RNAcentral